ACACAAAAAAAAACACACAUUCAUCAAAUCAAAACAAAAAAGUUUACCAAAAAUCUGCUCCCAAAUAUCAUUCAAUUUAAUUGAUCCAGACUAUAUAUAUACUUACACAGAUCUGUAUCUAUACAUUUUUCAGAUCUGAUACUUUCAUCGAAACGACGUAGUUUCGAAAUCCUUACGAGUGAUUGUAAUUUUGAGGUGAGUUGACUCGGUGUGAUUUAACUCGGAAAUGGAAACACUUGUUGCAUACGCACAUCACGAACAGCAGUUUCAUAAUAACAACAGACACCGAUAUAACCGGAAUCAUAACGGUGCGUUUGGCAAAAUCAAUUGCCGGACUUUUCAAUCCGGGUCGGGUAUACUUCCAAUUCCUAACUCGGUUAAAAAUAUUUCUAGUCCUGUUACCAAACACUCACCAAAAAAUGUGAAAAAACAGUUUCAGGUUACUGAUCAUCAGAAGGUGAACAGAAUUAGUAAAAGUAAUUCUGUACCUAUUACACUUGAUAUUAAUAAGAUGAAUGAAAAUGAAAUGUUUUGUUUUUCUGAGUUAUGGGCUGGACCGGCUUAUUCGAAUUCACCACCACCUAGUUCUUUGCCUAUACCUAAGUUUAGUGUGAAGCCAAAAAGGACUGUUUCACUUGAGUUGCCAUUAGGUGAGGUUGAGGAUAUUGAAUUGUUGACACCUGUUGUGAAAUCGGCGCCUCCUUCGCCUACUAGGGAUCAUAAGGCGGCGGGGCGUAGGGGUUUCUUUAUGGGUGGUGAUUGUGAUGGGGACGAUGAGUUUGCGACCAAGACUCUUCGUCGGAUACUUAAUCUUGAUGAGUGACAUACUUGGAGUGGUGUAUGCGCCACUUCUGUAAAUAAAGAUACAUGCUUUGUUUUUGUUUUUUUAGUUUUAGGUUGUAUAUAGAGUGAAUAAGAUGACGGUUUAUGUUUACUGCUUACUAUUGGGUUGUUUACUAGUUUAUAUGUAGUUAUGGGUUAUGGUGUGAUGGUGGUACAAGGGUAUUGAUGGCUGUUUAGGUGGUAGGUUGAUAUUAAGGAGUCAAGAUGGAAUUGUAGUUUGUUGUUGAAGUUACUUGGUAUUGAAGCUGGAAUUGGGAUUUGUGGGAUGUAUGUGUUGGUGCUGGAUCAUUUAUCGGGUAAGCAGUCUGUUGGUGUAAAAAGGGUUUGGGCAGUUGGCCGCUUGGUUGGUGGUAAGUCGAUAUUCUGAAAACUAGUACCAAUUAAUAACUUGUUGAAGUUUUUCUGGGAUGGAAAUUCGGUUAGGAUUGGUGGGGAAUUAUUAAUGGAUAGAAUGGUGUGGAAGCAGACUAUGGUUGUAAAAGGGUUUGUCUGCUUAAGUGGUUGGUGGUAGAUCAGUAUUCUGAAAAUUAAAUACAGGCUCUUUACUUGUUGACUUGUUGUAGGUUAUUGGGAAUCAAAGCUUGGUUCAGUGUUGUUGAGGCGUUUUGGUAUUUGAUCAUACAUUGGGAAAGCAGACGAUGGAGAUGUAAAAAGGGUUUGGCUGCUUUCAACUCGUAGAUCAAAAUUCUGAAAGUUAUUACAUAUUCGUGACUUGUAUUUUCUUGGUAUUUGAUGUCUGGUUAGGGAUACAUUGGUUCUGUGGAUCAUAUGUUGUGGGAGCAGACUUUGGGUUUAAAUCUUAAACGGUUUUGGCUACUUAGGUGUUUGGUGGUAUAUGAUAUUAUAAAAAUUGGUCCCGAUUCAUGAUUUGUUUUCUUUGGGAAGCUUUGCUGGGUUAGGCUUUGGUGGCGCAUGUUGAUUUAGGAUCUUGUGUUAGAUAAAGCAGACUGCGGGUGUAAAAAGGGGUAGUCUGCUACGGUGCUUGGUGCAUUUAUAUAAAAUGUCAAAAUGCAGAUUCAUAAAUUGGCGGUUUCUUGGAGGGUUUUUAAGUUUGAUGGGGCAUUUCAGUGCCUGGUCAUAUGUUGUGGAAGCUGAUGUUAGGUGUAAAAAGAGGUUGGCUUCUUAGGUGGUUGGGUGGUAGAUCAAUAUUCUGAAUGUCAAUACUGAUAACAUAACUUCUUGAAGUUUCUUGAAAGAUUGGAAGCUGGGAUUAGUACUGGGAUUGAUGGAACUUGGGUGCGAAAAGGGUCUGCUAUGGUCUUAAUGCAUUAUUCGGCAGGGGUGAUAGAAUAAUUUCCUUAAUUUAUCUAUUAAUUUUCGGCAGGAGAACUCAGUCUGUGUGGCCGAUGAGCCGUUGUGCUCAGCUGCGCUGCUGCAGAUAAUUUCUCUUUGUUGACUCUGGAGGCCUAGUCUCAAAAUAGAGGUUUCUAAGUUAAUACUUUUGUAUAUAGUGUAGAAUCCUUGAUGGGUUGUUCCAAUACUGCAGGAUCAUACUCUAUCCGUGUCAUCAAAAACUCAAGCUUCCUUAGUUAAUAGCACCAGUCCAUCUCUAAAACUUCCCUGUCACUUUCUCCUGUCUGGUUUCAGCUGGUUUUGUGUUCUUCCAUACUCAUUGUUAUUUAAGGCAGUGGCUAAUGAUCUCUUCCAUUUCUGAUAGUUUCUUGUUGUAGCCCUCGUCUUCUUUUUCAGUGUCCAUCCUUUCUAUUUAUUUCCUAUAGAGAUAACGUUAGAUUUUCAAGUCUUCUGUUAGCGAGGUUGUAGUAACCCGCUUCACCAUCUUUUCUGGUUUUUAAGAUAGAAAAGUGGGAAGGGGAAGUCAAAUAGUUUCAUAUCUGUCAUAUGGUCUAUAAUGUUUUCCUAGGUAUCAGCUUACAUUACUUUUUACUUGGAAGGUCAAUGCCACUGUUCUUGUCUGUAAAAGAGGUGUAAUUAUUGUCUUUCAAGAUUGUUGAUCGUGCCAAAGCCACUGAAGGGAAUGCAUCUUAAUACGGGAGAGAAGCAUCUCCAGGGCUGUUCUUUCAAACUACAAUGGUUGAGCAGUUGUGGACUUGUAGCUGUUCACUUGCUCCGUUUCUCUGUUUUACUUUUGAAUCUUCUAUGCAAGACUUAAUUUGAAGGUGCUAUUCGAUCCAGUGCAGUGGAAGUAGCUGAUUGGAGAAACAUCUUUUGGAGGUUGCUCUUCCAAAACAAUGGUGGAAGUAGCUGUUCUUUAUACACUCUGGUCGCUCACUGGUGGUUCUCUUGUUUACUAUAUUGCUUUCACUAUUAAACCUUCUGAUCAAAGACUUAAUUUGAAGGUCUAGUUUGUUUUUCUUUUUUCUUCGUGAAAUGACUUUGUUUUUAAGUACUCUUUUAUUAAUGGAGACUGCAUAUUCACUGUUA
This is a long non-coding RNA of Erigeron canadensis, 3225 nucleotides long. RefSeq lists it as uncharacterized. The transcript is spliced from 4 exons. Lineage: Eukaryota; Viridiplantae; Streptophyta; Magnoliopsida; Asterales; Asteraceae. The record is from RefSeq and is a predicted model, not a curated record.